Molecule: ribosomal RNA, 343 nt
Filed under: Globoppia maior
Lineage: Eukaryota; Metazoa; Arthropoda; Arachnida; Sarcoptiformes; Oppiidae
Description: SSU rRNA
Rfam family: Eukaryotic small subunit ribosomal RNA
Source: RNAcentral
AUAGCGUAUAUUAAAGUUGUUGUGGUUAAAAAGCUCGUAGUUGGAUCUCAGUUCCUAGUCAGACGGUCCACUUGCCAGUGGCUACUGUUUGGCUGAACACUUUACCGACCUGUCCUAUGGUGCUCUUCACCGAGUGUCAUAGGCGAUCGGUACGUUUACUUUGAAAAAAUUAGAGUGCUCAAAGCAGGCGUAAUUGCCCGAAUAAUGUUGCAUGGAAUAAUAGAAUAGGACCUCGGUUCUAUUUUGUUGGUCUUCGGAGCAUGAGGUAAUGAUCAAUAGGGACAGACGGGGCCAUUCGUAUUGCGGAGCUAGAGGUGAAAUUCUUGGACCUUCGCAAGACGAA